Molecule: ribosomal RNA, 254 nt
Filed under: uncultured bacterium
Lineage: Bacteria
Description: partial 16S ribosomal RNA
Rfam family: Bacterial small subunit ribosomal RNA
Source: RNAcentral
UACGUAGGGGGCAAGCGUUGUCCGGAUUUACUGGGCGUAAAGGGCGCGUAGGCGGUCAGCACAAGUCAGUUGUGAAAUCUCCGGGCUUAACUCGGAAAGGUCAACUGAUACUGUGCGACUAGAGUGCGGAAGGGGCAACUGGAAUUCUCGGUGUAGCGGUGAAAUGCGUAGAUAUCGAGAGGAACACCUGCGGCGAAGGCGGGUUGCUGGGCCGACACUGACGCUGAUGCGCGAAAGCCAGGGGAGCGAACGGG